AACAGCACGGAGAAUUCCAGAGCUAAUGGGGCUCUGCUUUACGGAUUAGGAAACUGAGCCCAGAAGGGCAGUCCGGGAGCUGGCUGGUGGAGACAGGCUGCUCUCAGGUCUCGUCUCCAUCGCCUCCCGGCCCUGCAGUACAGCUGCAGUCUCUCUGCAAUAUCGGCUCCUCACAUAUCUGUGCAGCAGCCCAGAGAUUUUUUUUUUUUUAAUAUCUUCAUUUUCUUGAAGUGUUUUGCGUUGACUUCAACCGGGUGGGGAGAUGAUGGAUCUCAGGGGCUUUGAUCCUGUUCUCAUAUCCUAAAUACUGUAGGGAAUCGGGAUAGGGAAACCACGUCCUCAGAUUGAGGGAAGGAGAUGAGUGGAGGGAGACCUGAGCCGUGGGGUCUUUGGCCUCCCCCAGGGCAAGCCACCUGGAAGAACUGCGCUUGAGAAAGUCUCCACGUUGUCCAGGGGGCAGCCAGGUGCAGACCUUGGCCAGGGACGGGUCAGCGUGGCAGAAACGACGUGGGCUCGCCUGAGGCCUCCAAGGAAAUUCGCAAAACGACACUAAACCUCACCAACUUUGAAAAUGUCCUUGAGCGCAUGGAGGGAGAAAGGUGUUUCCAUCAAUUCACCCAGCUUUCAAGUAAACAGGAAGUUUACCUGUGGGCUCAAGUCACACUCAGCAAGGAGCCCAGGAGCAAUUAACACCUACAAACGGGCUGGAGCGGGCGGGGCGGAGGCAGGCAGAGGAGAGAGGGGCCAAGAACCACCUUGGAAAAUUCUGUUGUUACAAAAAAGAAUCAAACCCAAGCUUUGAGAUACUUUCUGAAAAGAAACUGCAGCCAGGAGAAAUCUUUGCUUUGGAAAGGCAUUCACAUUAUAGACAAUUUUAACAUACAAACUGAACUGUAAAUAAAGGUUAAUUAUUCACCGAGUCCCUAGGGCCUCACAGGCACCUUGUGGUUCAGCAUGCAAAUUCUACACCUCACAACACAUGUAGAAGCUCAUUUUUUUCCCUUAAUGGUAAAUUAAUCUCUGUAUAGAAUACAAGAUUGCAGUUGAAUAAUUGUAUUUGAUACUAGAUUAACAGAUUUUAACAACAUGACAGUCUCACUUUCUGAGCAAUAAAAAAAAUUAAAGAUUGCUUGUUACCAAAGAAAAA
Ictidomys tridecemlineatus (thirteen-lined ground squirrel) is the source of this 1147-nucleotide non-coding RNA. The record is from RefSeq and is a predicted model, not a curated record. NCBI's taxonomy places the organism in Eukaryota, Metazoa, Chordata, Mammalia, Rodentia, Sciuridae.